GGAGCUAGGUCGUCUGGAAGUGACACACAUCAGGAAGGCAUCCGAGAGGUCCUUAGCGACUGCAUCCAGAUUAUGCUGUCGAUGGGAUUUAGCUAUGCACGAGUGAUAGAGGCUUAUAGCAUAUUUGGGGAUGAUGUGGAUUCCAUGGUAUGUUAUCUCAUCGAAACCAGCAAUAGCAGCAGACGUAAAGGAAAAGCAACUGAAUGAUGAGAUAAUAGUUUCUUCUUUCUGUCUAGUACUAGUAUGACUGUAUCUUAUCUCGCUGAAACCUUGAACGCGUUAUUUUCUGCCUUAAAUCUACCCACUGGUGUGUUUCGGGUUAUGGCGUUGGAGCUUGACUUCCUUUCUUCUCUGCUUCUACUUCUGGUAGUAGGGACUGAUAAAUGUUUGCAUCUUCAAAUAAUUUCUGUUUCACUUGGUGUUCUACAGACAGGUCCUCCUCAAUAAAUAAC
Molecule: unclassified non-coding RNA, 452 nt
Filed under: Hevea brasiliensis (rubber tree)
Lineage: Eukaryota; Viridiplantae; Streptophyta; Magnoliopsida; Malpighiales; Euphorbiaceae
Source: RNAcentral